Molecule: long non-coding RNA, 474 nt
Organism: Pipistrellus kuhlii (Kuhl's pipistrelle)
Lineage: Eukaryota; Metazoa; Chordata; Mammalia; Chiroptera; Vespertilionidae
Exons: 2
Source: RefSeq, a predicted model, not a curated record
GGAGCAGUCUUGGCGAGAGGGGGUCCGGCUGGUUUCUUCACGGGAACAUCCUUCUUGGGAGGCAUGGUGUCGGGUGGCCAGAGGACAGUGUGCCGAUGGGGGCACCCAUCUCUGUUUAAAUAGCCAGGGAGUCCUGUGGGCUCCAGGAGUACACACCCCUCUUUCGCUCCCCAACCGGAGAGAUAACAAAAACCUCGGUGCAGGUGCCAGAUUACAAGCCUCACUGGGGGCGCAGGAGAAGGGUGCAAGUCAGCGGCCUUAGGGAGAGGGGAGGGGUUGCUGGCUACUUUUGUUCUGGGGAGAAAGGGGUGGAUUAGGUAGCUUUCUGAGGAAGAGAGUAGGGAUUCCAUUUAGGCCCGGUGGUUCAGAAAAUAGCUGCUGUCUUCCACUUGCAAAAAACCAACAACAACAACAACAAAAACACCCAAAAAACGUCUGAAACGCAAUACUGCAAAUUGUCCCAUUUCAGGAAAA